AGCGUUGCUCGGAAUCACUGGGCGUAAAGCGCACGUAGGCGGAUUGUUAAGUCAGGGGUGAAAUCCUGGAGCUCAACUCCAGAACUGCCUUUGAUACUGGCGAUCUUGAGUUCGGGAGAGGUGAGUGGAACUGCGAGUGUAG
Molecule: ribosomal RNA, 142 nt
Filed under: uncultured Alphaproteobacteria bacterium
Lineage: Bacteria; Pseudomonadati; Pseudomonadota; Alphaproteobacteria
Description: partial 16S ribosomal RNA
Rfam family: Bacterial small subunit ribosomal RNA
Source: RNAcentral